Molecule: long non-coding RNA, 230 nt
Filed under: Nicotiana benthamiana
Lineage: Eukaryota; Viridiplantae; Streptophyta; Magnoliopsida; Solanales; Solanaceae
Description: long non-coding RNA (NBEN_LNC029802)
Source: RNAcentral
UCCCCCUUGAAUGUCUAUUCAAUAAUGUGCCUCAUAAAACCUUAAAACCAAAACCCAUUGGGAAAAAUUAAAGAAAGGAAAAAGAGUACACAUGUUUGGAUAUGCGCUUAUUGGUUGCCUCGUUAAAAACCUUGCAAAGAAAACCCGGUGGGACAAAACCUUGUAAUGGAAAAAGAGUGCAACGCGCCUUAACUCCCCCUAAUAAGAACAUCAAUUUAUGUCCUUAAGUC